GAUGAACGCUGGCGGCGUGCCUAAUACAUGCAAGUCGAGCGAACAGACGAGGAGCUUGCUCCUCUGACGUUAGCGGCGGACGGGUGAGUAACACGUGGAUAACCUACCUAUAAGACUGGGAUAACUUCGGGAAACCGGAGCUAAUACCGGAUAAUAUAUUGAACCGCAUGGUUCAAUAGUGAAAGACGGUUUUGCUGUCACUUAUAGCUGGAUCCGCGCCGCAUUAGCUAGUUGGUAAGGUAACGGCUUACCAAGGCAACGAUGCGUAGCCGACCUGAGAGGGUGAUCGGCCACACUGGAACUGAGACACGGUCCAGACUCCUACGGGAGGCAGCAGUAGGGAAUCUUCCGCAAAGGGCGAAAGCUUGACGGAGCAACGCCGCGUGAGUGAUGAAGGUCUUCGGAUCGUAAAACUCUGUUAUUAGGGAAGAACAAAUGUGUAAGUAACUAUGCACGUCUUGACGGUACCUAAUCAGAAAGCCACGGCUAGCUACGUG
Molecule: ribosomal RNA, 497 nt
Filed under: uncultured bacterium
Lineage: Bacteria
Description: partial 16S ribosomal RNA
Rfam family: Bacterial small subunit ribosomal RNA
Source: RNAcentral